AGCCUGUGGAAUUGCCCGGAGAUAAAACACUAAUGGCUGUGACGUCACGUAGAGAGCUCAGUGAAAGUCGCUCGUGAAGCCGCGGGUAAGAACGGGGGCAAGCCCGAGACGUAUUGGUAUAUUGAACAGUAUAGUGACGCCGCAGUGUCUCCACGAGCUGCCCAUCAUUAAUUUCACAAGUUAUCCGGGUAUUUGCAUUACAUGGUACUGGACCUGAUGCUCAGCGUAGUCUGUGAGCAGUGAGCUCCUAUUUGAUGUGGUUUCAUAUUGACUUCUUAUCCAUCAGUUUUGGGAAUAUUGUGAAACACAAUGGAAAGAGUCGAAAUGGGUAGAAGACGAAGAGAGAUCUAACUUGGAGACAGCGAAGAUGGACGUUUCCCAAACCGGCAGCCACUGUCUAGUUAGUGAUAUAUCUCAUGCGGAAAAUAUCGAGACAAAUUUCAUUUUACGCAAUUGCUGCAAAGUGUUCCGGUGGCGCAGCCGUCUCAUAUCAUACUAGCCAUCCCGGAGAGUGGGAAUCACAGAGUCACUGCGCUCCAAGCUCAGAGAAUCAUGUGCGGUGAAAAGCAGAUUAAAUUAAAGUGAGAAAAUGCCUCACUUCAAAUGAUGUGAUGGUCUAACGAUUUGAACUUUUCUCUCCAUUAUAGGCUAUCUGAAGAACGAAAGGGUUGCAUUAAUUUGGAAUUGAAGGGAUCAUAUAAAUUAUCUGUCAUGGAUUGUGCCUAUUUUGUAUUUUACUUUGAAUUUAAACCAACGGAGUAGCUUUAGGGAAUCAACUCACUUUUCUUUUAAACACUGGUGCAUUGGAUCAGAAUGGAUUUGUCAUUGUAGCCAACAGCUGCUGCUGAAGACCGCGCGCUCCGUCCGGGAUUUCUGACUUUUUUCCCCUCAACGAUGCAGCUCCUUCGACUAGCGUGGGCUUUAACCGGAGCCGCAGUCUGCUGUUUUGUUAUCCUCCUCAUUCACUCACACGUUCUAAAAGAAGGUCAGUUGGCAGCAGGUACGUGUGAGAUUGUCACUCUGGACCGGGACAGCAGUCAGCCGCGGCGGACCAUAGCACGACAGACGGCGAGGUGUGCCUGCAAGAAGGGACAGAUUGCCGGCACCACGAGAGCCAGACCGGCUUGUGUAGACGCUCUCAUUGUGAGAAGCCGGCAGUGGUGUGAGAUGACGCCUUGCUUGGAUGACGAGGGCUGUGACCUCUUAGUAAACCACUCGGGCUGGACCUGCACACAGCCAGGGGGCCGGGUGAAGACCACCACGGCCCUAUGACGACACACACACAAAGACACAACGCCUUGCCAGCCAGACAGACAGCAAAAGUCAACCACUUUUCAAGGACAGACAGGAGAGAAACAACAAACUGCAGAUCCUGGCAGGCUAGAGCGACACAGCAAGGUCUCCUGAUGAUGGCGGGGACAGACGCUCCCGAGCGAGAGAGAGGGGAUGGUGUGUGAGCUGCUUCCCAUAGUCCAUCGUCACCGCCUGUGUGGAGCAUACGUCGUCUUAUCAUCAGCUGUCCGUCUAUUGUUCUGUGCAGCAGCGUGAAGCCACGUAGAACCUACGUUGCCAAAGGCCCGGACUCCAAAUACAGGAGUUGGAGCUUAACAUGGAACAUAUGGACUCUGCAAUGCUCUAUUAUUCCUUGGGAGACAGAACUUAUUUUUCAGUUGAGUUUGGAGAAUUCUGAUGUGUGUCGUCAUGAACUUCUGGAUCUGACCCAACCUAGACUUUGGAGACAUGGGACAAAAUGUUUAUUUUGGAGUUUAUGCUUGGCAACUCCUCUGUAGUGAUUUUACAGACCAAAGAAAAAGAUAGCCGACUGCUCCAUAUUUUGGAGACACAGUGGACUUCGGGAUGAAGGGUUUAGAGACUUUUCCAAGUUGAUGAAACAUGCAAUCCCAUAUUCCCUCUCACCAUAUUACAGACUCUAGACAUACCCACAAAUGUACACAUGGUGAUAAAAGUGAUGUGUUGUGCAGAGUAAAUGUGUACAAAUGAAUGACGAAUACUGAAUGGAAAAAGUCAAGGGACGUUGUGUAAUUCGUCAAUGAUGUUUCUCUUGGACUACUAAACUGUACUUGUAUACUCACUGCUCUAUUUUGAACAUACAUUAAAUCAGAUAUACAUUUUCAAUUGCUAUAUUUGGACAAUUUGCAGUCAGCAUGACUGGUUAUAGUGAAAGAAACAAAUAAUUUCUCACCAGUAAAGAAUAGGAGGAAAAUAGUAAAUACAUCAUAUCUGUUUGGGGUAAAGAAACAUUAAAUGUAUUUUCAAAAGCCUAAAGUUAUAUAUUUAACAGUUUUAUAUGUUGUAUCUUUGUAGAAAACCUUAUUUAACACUGAAAAUGUGGUCACAUUGUGUAUCCACAGUUUAUGAUUGGCAAUGAGCUAUGUCCUUAACCUACUGGUCUCUUGUUCAUUUGAACAAGUUUUUUCAUCAUAAAAAGUCAAUUAUUUAACAUGAAUUGAAGAAAGAACAGAAUUAAAGCAUUCAGAUCAUAGUACAGAGCCCAUUUCUGAAAGGUUAUAUGUUCUACGUGUUCUACGUGUUCUACUUUUAUAGCCCCUCUCCAAUAACCUUUGUGGAAAUGUUGCACAAUUUGGGGUUUUACUUUUCAAACCACUUAAACUACAUUCAAUGACCAAGCUACUGCCAUUUUCAAUGGAAGGGGGAGACAUUUCGUGAGUUACUCAUUGGCGACUACAGUUUGCGACCAAAGCUCAGAAAGUGAUGAGGCUACUUUUGAAAUAGCCAAUGGGGGAGAGAAGCUCUCGCGCUAGCGAACUUCGACACUGCUGGUUAGGCUACCACCAACAUGCUGUUUUGCAUGCUGUUCAGAAGAAACACACUAGGAUAAUUUCAGCAACAUGGUACAGAAGGUCGCGAGCAGUAUGAACGUCCUGUUAGUAGUUCAACCCUAGUGGUGGGAUUAUGCCACAGCAUUGGAGUAUUGGAUCAAUGAGUGGCAAAUACGUACUCUAUUGUGGGCCAAUUUAAACACAACUUCUACCACUGUCUGUAGUCUCAAUGCAAGUUUUCUCUGGGAUUCUGUAAAGAUUUUACUUUAUAUCAGAGAGAAUUCAUGGGAAUAUCAUAUACAUAGGUGAACAUUGAUUUACAACAUAUCAUCCUACAGUAACAUCUCUAGACAAACAUGGAUUUAACUAAUUAUUUCCUCCUUAUUUCAACUGACUUUGUCAACAUAAUCCGGUUCCAUCGAUGUGGCUAAUUGGUAUAAUUAGUGAAAAAGUAUCAAUAAUAUACAGACUACACAUGGUCUACUUUCACAAUAUUUCCUGUAGAUUUUGAGUCUGGAAGACAUGAGUAUCAUGCUCUUUAGAUGCUGUUCGUACAUGGCCAUUUAAAUGCCUUUGUGCCAUCAAAGUAAAAUGACAUCAAAGAGGAUAUCAAAUCACUUGCAUAGAGUAUUUCCAUAUGACAUACAGUCGGGUCCAAAAUUUGUGAGCAAAAAACAAAUAAUAAAAAUACUAAGCUCUCAAAAAAUGUAUUUUGUUUUUAAAUAAACAGAACAUCAUAUACAGUGGGGUGUGAAAUUCUUGACACCCUUGAUAACGAUGAGAAACAUCACUGCAUAAAAUAAAUAUUUCUAAUAUUAUUUGGGAAAUUAUAUUACGUAAUACUAAACGCAAUUGCUCAGAGAAAGAGAUUUUGUUAAACAAGAAAUAUCUUUUUUUUAAAGAUCAUAAUUAUUGGCAACCUGGUUUUCAAUGUCUUUCAAUACCUCACAUUUCGACGUUAAUGGCAAUGAGCCUUUUUAUAAAAUGCUUUUGAGAUUGUAGAACACAUUGGGAGGGAUCUUAGACCAUUCCUCCAUACAGAAU
This is an RNA transcript of Oncorhynchus tshawytscha (Chinook salmon), 3845 nucleotides long. It is a transcript of the gene named chemokine-like protein TAFA-5, with no coding region annotated. Lineage: Eukaryota; Metazoa; Chordata; Actinopteri; Salmoniformes; Salmonidae. The record is from RefSeq and is a predicted model, not a curated record. The transcript has 5 exons.